UACGUAGGGGGCAAGCGUUGUCCGGAUUUAUUGGGCGUAAAGAGCGUGUAGGCGCCAGACAGGUCCACUGUGAAAACUCGAGGCUCAACCUCGAGAGGUCGGUGGAAACCGUCUGGCUAGAGUCCGGAAGAGGAGAGUGGAAUUCCUGGUGUAGCGGUGAAAUGCGCAGAUAUCAGGAAGAACACCAUGGCGAAAGCAGCUCUCUGGGACGGUACUGACGCUGAGACGCGAAAGCGUGGGGAGCGAACAGG
RNAcentral lists this ribosomal RNA (251 nucleotides) under uncultured bacterium. RNAcentral's name for it is "partial 16S ribosomal RNA". It matches the Rfam family "Bacterial small subunit ribosomal RNA", at positions 524 to 776 of the family's 1533-position model. The record is from RNAcentral.